CAAUAAGCGGAGGAAAAGAAACCAACCGGGAUUGCCUCAGUAACGGCGAGUGAAGCGGCAAGAGCUCAAAUUUGAAAUCUGGCCCCUUUGGGGUCCGAGUUGUAAUUUGGAGAGGAUGCUUCGGGUGCGGCCCCUAUCUAAGUGCCCUGGAACGGGCCGUCAUAGAGGGUGAGAAUCCCGUCUGGGAUGGGCGGCCGUGCCCGUGUGAAGCUCCUUCGACGAGUCGAGUUGUUUGGGAAUGCAGCUCUAAGCGGGUGGUAAAUUUCAUCUAAAGCUAAAUACUGGCCGGAGACCGAUAGCGCACAAGUAGAGUGAUCGAAAGAUGAAAAGCACUUUGAAAAGAGAGUUAAACAGCACGUGAAAUUGUUGAAAGGGAAGCGUUGGCCACCAGACGCGCCCGAGGGGGUUCAGCCGGCACUUGUGCCGGUGCACUCCCCCCCGGGUGGGCCAGCAUCGGUUUGGGCGGUCGCUGAAAGGCUCCAGGAAUGUAGCACCCUCCGGGGUGCCUUAUAGCCUGGGGUGUCAUGCGGCCCGCCUGGACCGAGGCCCGCGCUUCGGCGAGGAUGCUGGCGUAAUGGUGGUCAACGGCCCGUCUUGAAACACGGACCAAGGAGUCUAACAUCUAUGCGAGUGUUCGGGUGUCAAACCCGUCCGCGCAGUGAAAGCGAACGCAGGUGGGAACCCUUCGGGGCGCACCAUCGACCGAUCCUGAUGUCUUCGGAUGGAUUUGAGUAAGAGCAUAGCUGUUGGGACCCGAAAGAUGGUGAACUAUGCCUGAAUAGGGCGAAGCCAGAGGAAACUCUGGUGGAGGCUCGCAGCGGUUCUGACGUGCAAAUCGAUCGUCAAAUUUGGGUAUAGGGGGCGAAAGACUAAUCGAACCAUCUGGUAGCUGGU
Molecule: ribosomal RNA, 894 nt
Filed under: Talaromyces sp.
Lineage: Eukaryota; Fungi; Ascomycota; Eurotiomycetes; Eurotiales; Trichocomaceae
Description: partial large subunit ribosomal RNA
Rfam family: Eukaryotic large subunit ribosomal RNA
Source: RNAcentral